UACGUAGGGUGCGAGCGUUGACCGGAAUUAUUGGGCGUAAAGAGCUUGUAGGCGGUUUGUCGCGUCUGCCGUGAAAAUCCGGGGCUCAACCCCGGACUUGCGGUGGGUACGGGCAGACUAGAGUGUGGUAGGGGAGACUGGAAUUCCUGGUGUAGCGGUGAAAUGCGCAGAUAUCAGGAGGAACACCGAUGGCGAAGGCAGGUCUCUGGGCCACUACUGACGCUGAGAAGCGAAAGCGUGGGGAGCGAACAGG
Molecule: ribosomal RNA, 253 nt
Filed under: uncultured bacterium
Lineage: Bacteria
Description: partial 16S ribosomal RNA
Rfam family: Bacterial small subunit ribosomal RNA
Source: RNAcentral